GCCAACAAUCUAGCCCAUAAAAUUUAAAUACUCUUCCCCACUAAAUAAAACUUAAUAAAACAUUUUAACUUUAUAGUAGAGGUGAUCAAAAAAUUUCUUAGCGCUUCAGAUCAAGUACCGCAAGGGAAAGAUGAAAUAAAAAUGAAAUAAACUUAAGCAUUAGACAGUAGAGUUUCUCUCUCGUACCUUUUGCAUCAUGGUCUAGUUAGUCUAACUAAGCAAAGUGAACUUUAGUUUAACCCCCCGAAACUAGGUGAGCUACUUCGAAAUAGCCUUCAGGGCUAACCCGUCUCUGUUGCAAAAGAGUGGGAAAAUUUCCAAGUAGAGGUGAUAAACCUACCGCACCAAGAGAUAGCUGGUUACUCAAGAAAAGAAUAUUAGUUCUACCUCAAGUUUUUUAAGUCUUAAUAAACCUCAACUAAACUUAAGAGCUAUUCAAAUAGGGCACAGCUUAUUUGAAAAAGGAUACAACCUACUAUAUUGGGUAAUCAAUUAAGAAAAACUGUUAAGUGGGCCUAAAAGCAGCCACCUUCAAAAAAGCGUUAAAGCUUUACUUUUAUUCUUUAAAAAUAACUUUAUUAUUACAUAACCCAUCAACAAUAUUGAGUAAUUCCAUAAAAAUAUGGAAGAUAUAAUGCUAGAACUAGUAAUAAGAAGUAGAACUUCUCCAAAAUGUAAGCCUAAGCCACCUUAGACACCCUACUGGCAAUUAACGUUUAUGAGUCCACUUUAUUAACACCACAAGAAAACUUUAAAUACCACAACGUUAAACUUACACUAGAACAUUUAUGGAAAGAUCAAAAGAAAAAGAAGGAACUCGGCAACUAUUAACCCCGCCUGUUUACCAAAAACAUCGCCUCUUGCCUAAAUAUAAGAGGUCCAGCCUGCCCAGUGACAAAAUUUAACGGCCGCGGUACCCUAACCGUGCGAAGGUAGCAUAAUCACUUGUUCUUUAAAUGAGGACUUGUAUCAACGGCAUCACGAGGGUUAAACUGUCUCCUUUUUCAUAUCAGUGAAACUAAUCUCCCCGUGAAGAAGCGGGGAUAAUCCUAUAAGACGAGAAGACCCCAUGGAGCUUUAAACCCAACUACACCCCUCUUUAACUUUACCUUUAAACACCCGGGAUUUUUGUAUGUUCUGGUUUUAGGUUGGGGUGACCGCGGAGCAUAAAUUAGCCUCCACAAUGAAUAGAUUUUUCUCUUUAUCCAAGACCGACACUUCUAAGAAUUAGUACUCUAACAUAAAAUGAUCCGAUAUUCGAUCAACGAACCAAGUUACCCUGGGGAUAACAGCGCAAUCUACUUUAAGAGCUCAUAUCGACAAGUGGGUUUACGACCUCGAUGUUGGAUCAGGGUAUCCUAGUGGUGCAGCAGCUACUAAAGGUUCGUUUGUUCAACGAUUAAAACCCUACGUGAUCUGAGUUCAGACCGGAGUAAUCCAGGUCGGUUUCUAUCUAUAAAGAGUUACCUCUAGUACGAAAGGACCGACGUAACAUGGCCCAUGCACAAACAAGCCAUCCUAUUUUAUCAAUGCGUAUAACUCAAUUAUUCAUAGUCUAUAAUCACCCCCUAGACAAGGGUUU
This 1582-nucleotide ribosomal RNA is filed under the name Guibemantis liber. Its description in RNAcentral is "16S rRNA". It matches the Rfam family "Bacterial large subunit ribosomal RNA", at positions 371 to 2925 of the family's 2925-position model. The record is from RNAcentral. Lineage: Eukaryota; Metazoa; Chordata; Amphibia; Anura; Mantellidae.